Long non-coding RNA from Astatotilapia calliptera (eastern happy), 1711 nucleotides. Lineage: Eukaryota; Metazoa; Chordata; Actinopteri; Cichliformes; Cichlidae. The record is from Ensembl.
GCACAUAACCACAUUUUGUGUUUGUCAUAUUCUUUUUAACUCUACAAGGCAAAUGUGUAAGUAAACAUCUGUUAUUUACCCUGCAGUAGAAUAUAUAACAUUGCCACACAAUCAGUAUUCACUCACAGAUUUGCACUACUGUGCAGAGGUCUUGAGAUUGCCCUAAUUUCAUUAUAUUUUGCUAGAAAAAUGGGAAAAAGCUACAGCAAUUUAUUGGAACAUAUGCAAAGAUACAUGGAAAUAAAGUAUAUAAGGCAAAAAAAAACCCAACAACCUACUUUCAUUCUUCUGCCCAGCCUGAAUCACCUUUUUGGUGAUAAAUUACUAAAUAAUACUAAAAUACUCCCAAAAUGCAAUUUUUUGUAGAUUAGUUAAAUGGGAACAAAUUGUGUGUUGUUGCAACAGGCUGUUGUAUAACAGCAUGCCAAAAGCUCCUAUAUUAACCUCCUAGGACCUUUUGUCCACAUAUGUGGACAUCACAUUUUGGGUUAUAUAGACCAAAAUACUAAAUUUUGCUCUACAAGGGCUUGAUAUCCACUUACGAGGACAUUAUACUGCUACUGUUCUGUCGAAAUUUUAAAUGAAUAUAUAUGUGGCUCUCAUUUUUCUUGGAAAGAAAAAUUAAGUUAAAAAAAAAUCUGGUAAUUCUUCGUUUUUACAUUUCUCAGUUCCCAAUCAGCCCAAAUAUCAAAGAGAAAUUAAAAAUGCAUGCCGUGGAAGAGUUCGGGUCUUAGGAGGUUGAAACAGGUUCUUUGCCAAGUUUCCCUUUUAUCUGUAGACAAAACAGUAGUUCAUCUCUUGAGUUAGAUUGAUCGUUUGGUAAUUAGUGGCUAAACAAACCUCUUCCUUCAGCUGCUCCCUUUAUCUGUCACCACAGCAGAUUAUUUGCCUCUUCUGUCACACCAGCCCUCUGCAUGUCCUUCAUUACCACUUUAUCCUCUGAGUAUUCCGCUUCUCCUCCUGGAAGCUCCAUAUUCAACAUCAUUCCACUGUCCCUCCUUUGCACAUGUCCAAACCAACGCAGUCUCUAAAUUUAAAAAAAAAAAAAAAAAAGGCUAACCAAAUAAACAAAAUGGCUAAAAUAAAUAAAUACUCUGAAAAUAUUGAGGUACAAGGGCUAGACCAGGGGUCAGCAACCUUUAACACCCAAAGAGCCAUUUGGACCCGGUUUCCACGCAAAAGAAAACACUGGGAGCUGCAAAUACUUUUUCACAUCUAAAAUGAAGAUAACACUGUAUAUAUUGUUUUUUACUUUUAUGCUUUGUGUGAACAACUAAAGUAAGUAAGUAAUUUAUUAAGCGCUUUUCACAGACAGGCAGUCACAAAGCGCUGUACACAAAGAUUAAAAUAAACAAUACAAUCAAUAGACAUUAUACACAAUUUAAAAGAUCAAAUGGAAAUAAUGUAAAGAAUAUAAAAUACGUAGAUCAACAAAAGGCUUGUUUGAACAGAAAGGUUUUCAACUGCUUUUUAAAAGAAUCCACAGAGCAACUAAGGUGUGUUGCUUAUGAAAUCCAUGAAGUGCUACAGAGAAAAUUACAUUUUAUUUAUGUAACCAACACAUUUUGAACUCCUAAAGAAAUAUAACAAAAGGAAAGACACCCAGCUGAACUAAAAUGAUCCAUGUAGCAAACAAAAACUGUUGUGAGCCGCGACCCUCAUAUCGCCUUUGGGCUUUUGGAGCCUUGACCUGACUUUUAAAAAAUAAUUG